AUGAGUUACUAUGGCAACCACUACAGUAUCCUUAGAUUUAAUCUUUGUGUCCUGUGUAGGUCUAUGGCUCCAGCUAUGGCUGUGGCUGUGGCUGGGGAGGCUAUGGCUGUGGAGGCUUCGGUGGCCUGGGCUGUGGCAGUGGCUGGGGAUGUGGCAGCUUCCCGAGACUGGGCUGGGGCUGGGGAGGCUACAGAUAUGGCUGCGACCGCCCACUGUGCUAUGGAGGAUAUGGAUUCUCUACCUUCUACUAAACAUACUGUUGAAAUUGAAUGCAAAGAGAAAGCCUCCACAUUUAUUUGGUCCUAUUUUUGUAGUUCGAUUCCCAAAACAUCUAUCCUAUAUUCUCCAGGACGAAUCAAUAGCUAUUUAUCAAUGGUUAAACUGCUUCUACAAAUAUUUGGUGCUUUUUACCUCCAGAACCCAUCAUCUUAAAUGAAUAUUCAAUACGUGAAACUGUCCCAGUUUGUGUCCUCAUUUUGGUUUACUUCUCUUGCCACCAUUAUCAUAAUGUUAUCUUUCUAGAAGACCUUGAAGAAAAUUUGUAUUUUUGCUUUUGUCCAAUAAAAUGAUUACUCGAAAUCUAAAUAGCCUGGUUUUGUUUGAUGUUUUGAUGUCUUGAUUUUUAUUAUUUUAACAUCUUCUUUUGCAACAGAUAUAAAAAAUUAGCUUAUGAAGCUGCAAGGUCUGUGGCUAUUGGUUAUAGAGUAUGAUGCAACAAUUUCUAGUUCACCACAUUAUACAAGCUUGAGAACAAACACAUAGGGAGCAUAGGGAGUAAUACUAACAGUUAAUGAAAAUGACUCUCUCUGUCAGCUCCCUUAACAUAUAUAUACAUAAAUCACAUAUAUAUUUAUUUUUUAAUUUUUUUAAAAUAAUCAAUUUAUUUUUAUUGGUGUUCAAUUUGCCAACAUACAGAAUAACACCCAGUGCUCAUCCCGUCAAGUGCCCCCCUCACUGCCCAUCACCCAUUCACCCCCAUCCCCUGCCCUCCUCCCCUUCCACCACCCCUAGUUCGUUUCCCAGAGUUAGGAGUCUUUAUCACAUGUGUAUUUAUAUAUAUGUCCUCUCAAAUGUCUCUCAAGUGUUCCUGGAACUACUAAGGAUUGUGUCAUUCUCAUAUUUACAUUCAAGUACCUAUUUCUGUGUGACAUUGCUACUAGCUAAAUAUUUUCUUUCUUUUAAGGCUAUUUAUUAGCUUCACAGCAUAAGGUACUGAGGUUUCCUACAUAUCCUCUGCUCCCACACAUGCACAACAUCCCCCAAUAUCAGUAUGCCCUACCAGAGGGGUACAUUGGUUAUAACUGAUGAACUAACAUUGACACAUUAUAAUCACCCAGUCCAUACAUUACGGUUGAUUCUUGGUGUAGUACAUUCUAGGGUUUGGACAAAUAUACAAUGACAUGAAUCCAUCAUUAUAAUAUCAUACAGAAUAUUUUUACUGUCCUAAAUAUCUUUUUUUAAGUUUUUAUUUAAAUUUCAGUUAGUCAACAUACAAUGUAAUAUUAGGUCCAGGUGUACAAUUUAGUGAUUCAUCACAUUAAGCAUACUCCUUAAUCCCUGAAUAUGUCCUAUGGUCCUCCUACCCAUCCCUUCCCUUGCUGAAUAUCUUCCUGGUACCACUGGUCUAGCCAGACAUGCCUUUGCUUUCUUAUAAACUUUGUCUUCGGGCAGGGGAGGAUAUUGGAAAGUAUCACUCAUUACCUGGGCAGGAACUUUAUUUCUAUAGUUGGCAUCUUACUGAGGGCUAUUGUCCCUCAUAAGGCUGGUCCACCUACCAGUGAGUGGUACAGUGUUCUAUGGAAAAUAAGGGUGUAUGGGGGGUGUCUUUUCUGAUUUCUUUUUACACUCUGUUAGAAGGCACUUAAUAUUCUCUAGACCUUCUCAUGAAGGAACAGUGGUACAAAGUGAAACCUUAGUCACACCCCAGAUGCUUUAUUGACAAGAGUCUCUCAUGGCUGGAAACUCUGGCUCCAUUGUUUAGUCAAGGUCAAACAACCUGGCUCUUUCUUUCUUCAGAAUUUAUUUCCUCCCAGAAAAUUCCUCAAUCUCUCAUGAGGAACUUCCUUUUAGGCUUAUUCCAUCAGUUCACCUCUCGGAACAAUUGUCUUGGAACAUCAACAGUGAGCACAAAUUGAAUUCUCCCCAGAAGGUUUCUUAGCCAACUUUUGAAGUGCCCAGAACAGCCUGUUUCACCAGUUUGUCUGACAUGACCAGACAUGUCUGAAUCCACUCAGAUUCAUAUUUGGACCCCUAUGC
RNAcentral lists this long non-coding RNA (2256 nucleotides) under Canis lupus familiaris (dog). RNAcentral's name for it is "lncRNA (ENSCAFG00030013829.1)". The record is from RNAcentral. Lineage: Eukaryota; Metazoa; Chordata; Mammalia; Carnivora; Canidae.